RNAcentral lists this ribosomal RNA (426 nucleotides) under Vibrio parahaemolyticus. Its description in RNAcentral is "bacterial SSU rRNA". It matches the Rfam family "Bacterial small subunit ribosomal RNA", at positions 258 to 676 of the family's 1533-position model. Lineage: Bacteria; Pseudomonadati; Pseudomonadota; Gammaproteobacteria; Vibrionales; Vibrionaceae. The record is from RNAcentral.
UAAGGGCUCACCAAGGCGACGAUCCCUAGCUGGUCUGAGAGGAUGAUCAGCCACACUGGAACUGAGACACGGUCCAGACUCCUACGGGAGGCAGCAGUGGGGAAUAUUGCACAAUGGGCGCAAGCCUGAUGCAGCCAUGCCGCGUGUNUGAAGAAGGCCUUCGGGUUGUAAAGCACUUUCAGUCGUGAGGAAGGUAGUGUAGUUAAUAGCUGCAUUAUUUGACGUUAGCGACAGAAGAAGCACCGGCUAACUCCGUGCCAGCAGCCGCGGUAAUACGGAGGGUGCGAGCGUUAAUCGGAAUUACUGGGCGUAAAGCGCAUGCAGGUGGUUUGUUAAGUCAGAUGUGAAAGCCCGGGGCUCAACCUCGGAAUUGCAUUUGAAACUGGCAGACUAGAGUACUGUAGAGGGGGGUAGAAUUUCAGGUGU